RNAcentral lists this ribosomal RNA (429 nucleotides) under bacterium. RNAcentral's name for it is "partial 16S ribosomal RNA". It matches the Rfam family "Bacterial small subunit ribosomal RNA", at positions 355 to 776 of the family's 1533-position model. The record is from RNAcentral.
UAGGGAAUCUUCCACAAUGGACGCAAGUCUGAUGGAGCAACGCCGCGUGAGUGAAGAAGGUUUUCGGAUCGUAAAGCUCUGUUGUUGGUGAAGAAGGAUAGAGGCAGUAACUGGUCUUUAUUUGACGGUAAUCAACCAGAAAGUCACGGCUAACUACGUGCCAGCAGCCGCGGUAAUACGUAGGUGGCAAGCGUUGUCCGGAUUUAUUGGGCGUAAAGCGAGCGCAGGCGGAAUGAUAAGUCUGAUGUGAAAGCCCACGGCUCAACCGUGGAACUGCAUCGGAAAAUGGCAUUCUUGAGUGCAGAAGAGGAGAGUGGAAUUCCAUGUGUAGCGGUGGAAUGCGUAGAUAUAUGGAAGAACACCAGUGGCGAAGGCGGCUCUCUGGUCUGCAACUGACGCUGAGGCUCGAAAGCAUGGGUAGCGAACAGG